GCAGAAUUCGCCUAGUUGGUCGAGGGCGCACGAUUGGAAAUCGUGUAACCUGUAACAGGGUUCCAGAGUUCGAAUCUCUGAUUCUGCGCCA
RNAcentral lists this transfer RNA (91 nucleotides) under Clostridia bacterium. RNAcentral describes it as "tRNA-Ser". It matches the Rfam family "tRNA". From Rfam's summary of the family: Transfer RNA (tRNA) molecules are approximately 80 nucleotides in length. The record is from RNAcentral. RNAcentral also lists the same sequence under 1 other name. Lineage: Bacteria; Bacillati; Bacillota; Clostridia.